GAUGAAGAACGUAGCGAAAUGCGAUAAGUAUUGUGAAUUGCAGAAUUCAGUGAAUCAUCGAAUCUUUGAACGCACAUUGCGCCCCCCAGUAUUCUGGCGGGCAUGCCUGUUCGAGCGUCAUUUCAACCAUCAAGCCCUGCUUGUGUUGGGGUCCUGCGGCUGCCCGCAGGCCCUGAAAACCAGUGGCGGGCUCGCUAGUCACACCGAGCGCAGUAGCACAUCUCGCUCAGGGCGUGCGGCGGGCUCCAGCCGUUAAAGCACCCACCUUUCGCAAGGUUGACCUCGGAUCAGGUAGGAAUACCCGCUGAACUUAAGCAUAUCAAUAAGCGGAGGA
This 334-nucleotide unclassified non-coding RNA is filed under the name soil metagenome. RNAcentral describes it as "partial contains 5.8S ribosomal RNA, internal transcribed spacer 2, and large subunit ribosomal RNA". The stretch from base 1 to 120 matches the Rfam family "5.8S ribosomal RNA", at positions 35 to 154 of the family's 154-position model. The record is from RNAcentral.